AUGAAACCUAAAUGAUUUCUUCGGAAUGAACUUAAGUGGAUUAGUGGCGAACGGGUGAGUAACACGUGAGUAACCUGCCUUACACAAGGGGAUAGCCUCUGGAAACGGAGAAUAAUACCCUAUAAAGUCUAAUCAGCCCAUGCUGGAAAGACCAAAGAUUUAUCGGUGUAAGAUGGACUUGCGUCUGAUUAGCUAGUUGGUGAGAUAAAAGCUCACCAAGGCGACGAUCAGUAGCCGGCUUGAGAGAGUGUACGGCCACAUUGGGACUGAGACACGGCCCAAACUCCUACGGGAGGCAGCAGUGGGGAAUUUUGCACAAUGGGGGAAACCCUGAUGCAGCGACGCCGCGUGAUUUAGAAGGCCUUCGGGUUGUAAAAAUCUUUUUUACGGGAUGAAAAUGACAGUACCGUAAGAAUAAGGUCCGGCUAAAUACGUGCCAGCAGCCGCGGUAAUACGUAUGGACCGAGCGUUGUCCGGAAUCAUUGGGCGUAAAGGGUACGUAGGCGGCCUAGUAAGUUAGAAGUUAAAGAAUAUAGCUCAACUAUAUAAAGCUUUUAAAACUGCUAGGCUUGAGAGAUGGAAGGGAAAGUGGAAUUCCUAGUGUAGCGGUGAAAUGCGCAGAUAUUAGGAAGAAUACCGGUGGCGAAGGCGACUUUCUGGUCAUCAUCUGACGCUGAGGUACGAAAGCGUGGGUAGCAAACAGGAUUAGAUACCCUGGUAGUCCACGUUGUAAACGAUGAGUGUUAGGUUCUUGGAAUAAUCUGGGAGCCGCAGCUAACGCAUUAAACACUCCGCCUGGGGAGUACGCACGCAAGUGUG
Molecule: ribosomal RNA, 819 nt
Filed under: uncultured Clostridia bacterium
Lineage: Bacteria; Bacillati; Bacillota; Clostridia
Description: bacterial SSU rRNA
Rfam family: Bacterial small subunit ribosomal RNA
Source: RNAcentral